GACGAACGCUGACAGAAUGCUUAACACAUGCAAGUCAUUGGCGAAGCUCCGCUUGCGCUGUCUAGCUAAGGUGGACGGGUGAGUAACGCGUAAGGAACUUGCUCCGCUGACAGGGAUAAUAGACGGAGACGACUGAUAACACCAGGGAAUAUCAGGCUGGCGCAUGCCGGCCGGAUGAAAGGUGUUGCGGUAGGAGAGCCUUGCGUCCUAUUAGCUAGUUGGUGGGGUAACGGCCCACCGAGGCGAUGAUAGGUAGCCGGGCUGAGAGGGAGAACGACCACAAGGGGACUGAGAGACGCCCCUUACUCCGGCGGGAGGCAGCAGUGGAGAAUGUUGGACAGGGGGGACAACCCUGAUGCAGCAAUUCUGUGUGGACGAAGAAGGUUUUCGUAUUAUAAAGUGCUUUCAGCAGGGAAGAAGAAAGUGACGGUACCUGCAGAAGAAGCGACGGCUAAAUACGUG
RNAcentral lists this ribosomal RNA (462 nucleotides) under uncultured bacterium. RNAcentral's name for it is "partial 16S ribosomal RNA". It matches the Rfam family "Bacterial small subunit ribosomal RNA", at positions 28 to 507 of the family's 1533-position model. The record is from RNAcentral.